Molecule: ribosomal RNA, 253 nt
Filed under: uncultured bacterium
Lineage: Bacteria
Description: partial 16S ribosomal RNA
Rfam family: Bacterial small subunit ribosomal RNA
Source: RNAcentral
UACAGAGGGGGCAAGCGUUAUUCGGAAUUAUUGGGCGUAAAGGGCGCGCAGGCGGCUACGCACGUCCGUUGUGAAAUCGCUCGGCUCAACUGGGCGGGGUCGGCGGAUACGGCGUAGCUGGAGCAAGCUAGGGGGCAAUGGAAUUCCCGGUGUAGUGGUGGAAUGCGUAGAUAUCGGGAGGAACACCAGUGGCGAAGGCGGUUGCCUGGAGCUUUGCUGACGCUGAGGCGCGAAAGCGUGGGGAGCGAUCCGG